AUUGAACGCUGGCGGCAUGCCUUACACAUGCAAGUCGAACGGCAGCACGGGUGCUUGCACCUGGUGGCGAGUGGCGAACGGGUGAGUAAUACAUCGGAACGUACCUUAUCGUGGGGGAUAACGCAGCGAAAGUUGCGCUAAUACCGCAUACGCCCUGAGGGGGAAAGCGGGGGACCGUAAGGCCUCGCGCGAUUAGAGCGGCCGAUGUCUGAUUAGCUUGUUGGUGAGGUAAAAGCUCACCAAGGGGAUGAUCAGUAGCUGGUCUGAGAGGACGAUCAGCCACACUGGGACUGAGACACGGCCCAGACUCCUACGGGAGGCAGCAGUGGGGAAUUUUGGACAAUGGGGGCAACCCUGAUCCAGCAAUGCCGCGUGAGUGAAGAAGGCCUUCGGGUUGUAAAGCUCUUUUGUCGGGGAGGAUGGUAGAGCAGGUUAAGAGCUAGCUUUGCUGACGUUACCCGAAGAAUAAGCACCGGCUAACUCCGUGCCAGCCGCCGCAGUAA
Molecule: ribosomal RNA, 503 nt
Filed under: uncultured bacterium
Lineage: Bacteria
Description: partial 16S ribosomal RNA
Rfam family: Bacterial small subunit ribosomal RNA
Source: RNAcentral